AUGCUCAAAUGCUGAUGACUACGGAUGUGUUCAGAUGUAAAGAUGUUUUCAUGUGUGUGCAAUGAGUAUUUGCACUUACUCAUUUGCAGCACACACCUCUGGAUGUGCAAAGCAAGAAUGAGUGAAUUGGAUUGACGUGGAGGUGAUGGAGGAAGAGAAAUGGUCUACACGUCAAAAUGACAAUGUACAUUACAUGGUUAACAGAAUGAGUGAGGUCAUGCCUGGUGUUGUGACUGUAGUGUUGAUCAUAGACCUGAAGGCAGAGUGUGCUGUGGAAGUGAAGUUUAGCAGAUCUGGGAAAUCAAGCUCUGGUUGUAAAGUUUAGUGGUGUUUUUUUC
This is a non-coding RNA of Chelonoidis abingdonii (Abingdon island giant tortoise), 338 nucleotides long. NCBI's taxonomy places the organism in Eukaryota, Metazoa, Chordata, Testudines, Testudinidae. The record is from RefSeq and is a predicted model, not a curated record.